GAUGAACGCUGGCGGCGUGCCUAAUACAUGCAAGUAGAACGCUGAAGCUUGGUGCUUGCACCGAGCGGAUGAGUUGCGAACGGGUGAGUAACGCGUAGGUAACCUGCCUCUUAGCGGGGGAUAACUAUUGGAAACGAUAGCUAAUACCGCAUAAAAGUCGAUAUCGCAUGAUAUUGAUUUGAAAGGUGCAAAUGCAUCACUAAGAGAUGGACCUGCGUUGUAUUAGCUAGUUGGUGAGGUAACGGCUCACCAAGGCGACGAUACAUAGCCGACCUGAGAGGGUGAUCGGCCACACUGGGACUGAGACACGGCCCAGACUCCUACGGGAGUCAGCAGUAGGGAAUCUUCGGCAAUGGGGGCAACCCUGACCGAGCAACGCCGCGUGAGUGAAGAAGGUUUUCGGAUCGUAAAGCUCUGUUGUAAGAGAAGAACGAGUGUGAGAGUGGAAAGUUCACACUGUGACGGUAACUUACCAGAAAGGGACGGCUAACUACGUG
RNAcentral lists this ribosomal RNA (497 nucleotides) under uncultured bacterium. RNAcentral's name for it is "partial 16S ribosomal RNA". It matches the Rfam family "Bacterial small subunit ribosomal RNA", at positions 28 to 507 of the family's 1533-position model. The record is from RNAcentral.